AUUGAACGCUGGCGGCAUGCCUUACACAUGCAAGUCGAACGGCAGCAUGGAGAGCUUGCUCUCUGAUGGCGAGUGGCGAACGGGUGAGUAAAGCAUCGGAACGUACCGUGUAGGGGGGGAUAACGUAGCGAAAGUUACGCUAAUACCGCAUACGCACUGAGGUGGAAAGCAGGGGACCGUAAGACCUUGCGCGAUACGAGCGGCCGAUGUCAGAUUAGCUAGUGGGUAGGGUAAAGGCCUACCAAGGCGACGAUCUGUAGCGGGUCUGAGAGGAUGAUCCGCCACACUGGGACUGAGACACGGCCCAGACUCCUACGGGAGGCAGCAGUGGGGAAUUUUGGACAAUGGGGGCAACCCUGAUCCAGCCAUGCCGCGUGAGUGAAGAAGGCCUUCGGGUUGUAAAGCUCUUUCGGCCGGGAAGAAAUCGCACAGGCUAAUACCCUGUGUGGAUGACGGUACCGGCAUAAGAAGCACCGGCUAACUACGUGCCAGCCGCCGCAGUAA
RNAcentral lists this ribosomal RNA (504 nucleotides) under uncultured bacterium. RNAcentral's name for it is "partial 16S ribosomal RNA". It matches the Rfam family "Bacterial small subunit ribosomal RNA", at positions 29 to 523 of the family's 1533-position model. The record is from RNAcentral.